This 260-nucleotide ribosomal RNA is filed under the name uncultured bacterium. RNAcentral describes it as "partial 16S ribosomal RNA". It matches the Rfam family "Bacterial small subunit ribosomal RNA", at positions 524 to 781 of the family's 1533-position model. The record is from RNAcentral.
UACGUAGGGGGCAAGCGUUAUCCGGAUUUACUGGGUGUAAAGGGAGCGUAGGCGGCAUGGCAAGUCUGGUGUGAAAGCCCGGGGGCCCAACCCCGGGACGUGCACUGGAAACUGGCGUGCUGGAGUGCCGGAGAGGCAGGCGGAAUUCCUAGUGUAGCGGUGAAAUGCGUAGAUAUUAGGAGGAACACCAGUGGCGAAGGCGGCCUGCUGGACGGUGACUGACGCUGAGGCUCGAAAGCGUGGGGAGCAAACAGGAUUAG